RNAcentral lists this ribosomal RNA (449 nucleotides) under uncultured Planctomyces sp. Its description in RNAcentral is "bacterial SSU rRNA". It matches the Rfam family "Bacterial small subunit ribosomal RNA", at positions 335 to 795 of the family's 1533-position model. Lineage: Bacteria; Pseudomonadati; Planctomycetota; Planctomycetia; Planctomycetales; Planctomycetaceae. The record is from RNAcentral.
UACCUACGGGCGGCUGCAGUCGAGAAUCUUCGGCAAUGGGCGCAAGCCUGACCGAGCGACGCUGCGUGCGGGAUGACGGCCCUUGGGUUGUAAACCGCUGUCAGAGGGGAUGAAAGCGAAAGCUUGACAGAGCCUCAGAGGAAGCGCGGGCUAAGUUCGUGCCAGCAGCCGCGGUAAUACGAACUGCGCGAACGUUAUUCGGAAUCACUGGGCUUACAGGGUGCGUAGGCGGUUUUCCAGGUCCGAUGUGAAAUCCCACAGCUCAACUGUGGAAUGGCAUUGGAAACCGGUUGGCUUGAGUGAGCUAGAGGUGCACGGAACUUCCGGUGGAGCGGUGAAAUGUGUUGAGAUCGGAAGGAACACCAGAGGCGAAGGCGGUGCACUGGGGCUUGUCUGACGCUGAGGCACGAAAGCCAGGGGAGCGAACGGGAUUAGAUACCCCCGUAGUC